Molecule: ribosomal RNA, 301 nt
Filed under: uncultured bacterium
Lineage: Bacteria
Description: partial 16S ribosomal RNA
Rfam family: Bacterial small subunit ribosomal RNA
Source: RNAcentral
CAGUCGCCGCGGGAAUACGUAGGGUGCAAGCGUUAAUCGGAAUUACUGGGCGUAAAGCGUGCGCAGGCGGUCCGCUAAGACAGAUGUGAAAUCCCCGGGCUUAACCUGGGAACUGCAUUUGUGACUGUAUAGCUAGAGUACGGCAGAGGGGGAUGGAAUUCCGCGUGUAGCAGUGAAAUGCGUAGAUAUGCGGAGGAACACCGAUGGCGAAGGCAAUCCCCUGGGCCUGUACUGACGCUCAUGCACGAAAGCGUGGGGAGCAAACAGGAUUAGAUACCCCUGUAGUCCCUGUCUCUUAUAA